AAUCCACCAUUUCUAACUCUAUGAGAUCGGCUUUGGUGUUGCGACCUUGGACUGAAACUAUACAACCUCUAUAGACUCUGGUGACUUUCAUUGACUCGCCAACUGGAGUAGAUACUAGGAAUGGCUCACUAAGUUGUUCAGGUUCUAGUCCGAGUUUAAUUGCAAAGUAUGGAGUCAUAUAUGAAAAUGUUGAACCUGGAUCCAUUACGGCAUAAGCAUUAUGGGAGCAGACUAAAAGUAUACCUAUAAUAACUUCUGCAGAUUCCUAUGCACUCUGACGAUCAAGUGUAGCAAACAAACGGCUUUGUCCCCCUCCCUGAGUAACUCGGUCUGCACUUCUGCCUACUCCAUGCCCAGUCUGAUUAUGAGAACAACGAGCCUGAGGUGGUGCAGCUGCAGUAGCUGAGGAACUAAAACGACGAGUUGAUCCACUACCGAAAUUACGUCGCAACUUCGGGCAAUUGGUCUAUUCAAAUUCUUCCCAAGUAGGUGGAUCAUCAUCUUCAUCUUCUCCUUUUCCCGCAUCUUAAACCAAGCGCCAGCCACAUCUCUAAGCUUGUAAGCAGCUAGCUCCAGAGCUUUGUCAUCAAAUACUUUCAUCACUCGGAGGGCUUUCUUAACACCCUCCAUCCAUAACAU
Molecule: long non-coding RNA, 639 nt
Filed under: Nicotiana benthamiana
Lineage: Eukaryota; Viridiplantae; Streptophyta; Magnoliopsida; Solanales; Solanaceae
Description: long non-coding RNA (NBEN_LNC008617)
Source: RNAcentral